GAUGAAGAACGUAGCGAAAUGCGAUACGUAAUGUGAAAUGCAAAUUCAGUGAAUCAUCGAGUCUUUGAACGCACAUUGCGCCCCCUGGUAUUCCGGGGGGCAUGCCUGUCCGAGCGUCAUUGCUGCCCUCAAGCACGGCUUGUGUGUUGGGCCCCGUCCUCCGAUCCCGGGGGACGGGCCCGAAAGGCAGCGGCGGCACCGCGUCCGGUCCUCGAGCGUAUGGGGCUUUGUCACCCGCUCCGUAGGCCCGGCCGGCGCUUGCCGAUCAACCCAAAUUUUUAUCCAGGUUGACCUCGGAUCAGGUAGGGAUACCCGCUGAACUUAAGCAUAUCAGUAAGCGGAGGA
RNAcentral lists this unclassified non-coding RNA (345 nucleotides) under soil metagenome. Its description in RNAcentral is "partial contains 5.8S ribosomal RNA, internal transcribed spacer 2, and large subunit ribosomal RNA". The stretch from base 1 to 119 matches the Rfam family "5.8S ribosomal RNA", at positions 35 to 154 of the family's 154-position model. The record is from RNAcentral.